AGUGAACGCUGGCGGUAGGCCUAACACAUGCAAGUCGAACGGCAGCACAGUAAGAGCUUGCUCUUACGGGUGGCGAGUGGCGGACGGGUGAGGAAUACAUCGGAAUCUACUUUUUCGUGGGGGAUAACGUAGGGAAACUUACGCUAAUACCGCAUACGACCUACGGGUGAAAGCAGGGGAUCUUCGGACCUUGCGCGAUUGGAUGAGCCGAUGUCGGAUUAGCUAGUUGGCGGGGUAAAGGCCCACCAAGGCGACGAUCCGUAGCUGGUCUGAGAGGAUGAUCAGCCACACUGGGACUGAGACACGGUCCAGACUCCUACGGGAGGCAGCAGUGGGGAAUAUUGGACAAUGGGCGCAAGCCUGAUCCAGCCAUACCGCGUGGGUGAAGAAGGCCUUCGGGUUGUAAAGCCCUUUUGUUGGGAAAGAAAAGCAGCAGGUUAAUACCCCGCUGUUCUGACGGUACCCAAAGAAUAAGCACCGGCUAACUUCGUG
Molecule: ribosomal RNA, 492 nt
Filed under: uncultured bacterium
Lineage: Bacteria
Description: partial 16S ribosomal RNA
Rfam family: Bacterial small subunit ribosomal RNA
Source: RNAcentral